Molecule: unclassified non-coding RNA, 229 nt
Filed under: Hevea brasiliensis (rubber tree)
Lineage: Eukaryota; Viridiplantae; Streptophyta; Magnoliopsida; Malpighiales; Euphorbiaceae
Source: RNAcentral
GUGUUUCGUUUGUCGUGUGUUUCCUUGCUUGUGUGUGUAGCGCGUGGUUUGCAUCAGUGGGUUGUGAUGUAACCAUGCUAGGUUGUUUGCUUAAUCAACUUGCAGAAUAAGCCUAACAUACAUCAUAACAGCAAAAGACUUAGAUCUGUUAAGGUCCUAUCCUUAGUUUCUAAUCUGUCUCUCCCCUUUGUUUUCCCUCUCUCCCUCUCCAAACCUUUGCAACAGAUGG